UUGGCCAAUUUCAAAUGGUUGCUGUCACACACUCUUCGCUCUGACGCGACAAUCCGUGCGCUUUCCUCGCGCGCGGACAACGGACACAGGUUCAGCACCACACUGAGGUGGACAGCAUGCUAACGGACAGACCCGAGAACAGAGCACUCGUCUCUCCUAUAGAGACAGACAAAGCUUCCCUCCGUAGAGUAAGUGCAUAAGGAGGAGAAAGUAUUCACCGGCACCGGGUGGAUCCCUGCCUUUCAAGGAGACAGCAUGGCCAGGAGAGUUCUACUUAAAAUGUUACUCUCAACGAUUCGAUAAUAUCGAGAGGGAUUUCGGAAAAGUGCCAACGAAGGAUUCGGACGGCUUGUCUGUGAUUUGUUUUAUAGCCUAGGAUUUAGAUAAGUUACUCGGGGGAAUGGAGAAGCCGGUCCAGUCUCAGCUGCAGUCCAAGAGCUCAGAAGGUCCGUCAGAGGAUCUUUGCAAACUUACGGAUGAUGAGCUUAUGAAAUGGAGUAAGGAGGAGCUGGUACGCCGGCUGCGAAGAGCCGAAGCCGAGAAAAUGAGCGCUAUAGUGGACCACAGCAAUCUCAUCCGAGAGGUGAACCGCAGGCUUCAGCAGCACCUGAACGAGAUCCGAGGGCUGAAGGAAGUGAAUCAGAAGCUGCAAGAGGAUAACCAGGAGCUGAGGGAUCUCUGCUGCUUUCUGGAUGACGAUCGACAGAAAGGGAAAAAAGUGUCGAGGGAGUGGCAGCGCCUGGGCCGUUACAGUGCAGGAAUCAUGCGUAAGGAAGUCACAUUGUACCUGCAGAAGCUGAAGGAGUUGGAGCAGCGUCAGGAGGAGGUGGUGAAGGAGAACCUGGAACUGAGGGAGUUGUGCCUCAUGCUGGACGAGGAGAAGGGCUCUGGUAGUACUGUUGGGUCAGUGGGUACCGGGGGUCCAGCCGGCUGCAGGAAUUCAAUCGAUAGCCAGAGCAGCCUGUCUCACGCCAGUGGUCCAGGGCCUGGACUCCUUAGAGAUGUGGGUGAUGGGAGCAGUACCUCCAGCGCGGGCAGCACUGACAGCCCUGACCAUCUCACUCAUAAGCAGCAGCUGUUGGGCGGCCCCGCUGGAGGCAGUCCUGACCACCUGCAUAAGCCAGGCUCUGGGGAGGAGGCACCAAGUUCUGAGCACGUAGGCCGAAGACAUAGCACAAGCCAGGAGUACACAGCGCAUACCUUUCCCCAGGUGUGCCGCUCUCGUUGUGGGUCCUUCUCCAGUCCAGACCACAAGGGCUUGAGGGGGCUCAGUCCUGAGAAACUUGGGAAGAACCUUUCCAGAGGCAGUCCAGAGCAGUUCUCGAAACACCUGCUGGUGUCUUCUCAGCCGUCUGGCAAUCCUGACCUUUACCGAAAGCAUCGGGGAAGCAUGGGUAGUGUGUGUGGGAGUCCGGACCCCAAACAGAUUCUAUCAGGGACACCAGAACACCUCCAGAAGGGCCGUGUCAUUUCUGGGAGCCCCGAGAUGUUACGGCACUCCUACGGUGUCAGCCACGAGCACGGGAAAUUUGGCAGCCCUGGCCGGGAGGUGGCACAGAAGAGGCCGGGCGGAGAAGAGAUGUCCCCUCAUCAUCGGAACAUCUAUAGCGGUAUGAACGGUGGGUCUGACUGGAGCCUGCUCUAGCACCCACAGUGAUACAUGGAGUUCCCAUUGAACACACCACAUGCCGUCCUUAAUCACGGAGGGUGCAUCAUUGCCAGCAAGGCAAUUCUCAGCCAGGCACUAAACCAUGCCAUUAAGCCAUCCAUGAUCAGCAUUUAGUUUAGUUUAUCUUUGCUCAGUUCAGGAGAGUCAAUGAGAAGAUUUAGUUUUAGUUUCUGGCUAGAGCAGAACAUCACAUCUCUGGUAAAGGUCGGUGGUGUCCAGUCUUGGUACUUUUGGGUUAUAAUUUUUGGCAGGCUUUAGCUGCCUCCUAUCAAUCAGCAUGUGCCUCCGAAUCCAUUUUUAUGCUCUGGAACCAGCUGAGGGGACACUGUAAUGAAUCAAAGACCAAAAUGCCCAGCAAAAGCCAGAAGACAGUGUUUCCCACCAGGACCAGGAGUGGACACCAUUGUAUUUACCAUAUGCACCAAGCUCUGAUAUCGGCUGGCUGUUGCACCGGCUCCUGCAGAAGUGUCAAGCUUUGGGACAGUUUUGAUGCUUCUUGACCAUUGCCUUGACUGGAUCCAGUUGUGGAAACCAGGCCAUGAGAGAUGGUCAUUGUGAUUUCAUAUCACCUGCACUGACAAAAAGUUGGAAAAGGAAAACUGCAGUAGCCGGCAUUACCCACCCAUCGUGCUGGUUCUGGUCUUCUAAUACAACUUACAACCCUGCACAACAAAAGCCUGAAGGAGAUAUUUCUUAGGAGUCAAACAGCUGAAAAUAAGAUUGCCAAAAGGAUUUCUCAAAUCGAUAUUAAGAUCGUUCUUUUGCCAACAAAAUAGACCUACCUCCUUUAUACGAAAACAGAUGAAACGGUACUGAGAGGCUAGUGCCCAUUUUGUUUACAGUUGCCACAAAAACACAAACAAUCAAAUGACACUUUUGCACAUACAGGCAAACAUUUAUUAUCAGAUUGGUCUCAUGCACCUUAGGCUUUGUUCAGACAGGCAGAAAAAAUCUGAUACUUUAUGUAUCUGACAUUUAUCUGUUUAGAUUUGUGUAGUUUGUUCAGCCAAAAAGCACAGAAAAUCUGACAUAUUUAUAAACUUAUUCCAAAACGCAUUUAAAAUGAAAUUUUGUGACAGUUAGAUAUCAAGUAGUGUUUCAUCAUUUAAGACACGGUCGCCGAGACAAGUUUUCUGUCCUCUCUUUUCCACAGCUGCUCUUGUUGUACAAGAAAGUCCCUUUGGCAUCGUGCUGACGCUAAUAUCAUUUCCAUAGCAACCGAUGUAGAAGAUCGCAUUUAAAACCCAAGUGGGAUUUACUGUAUAUGCUGUGUGAACAAAGCCUAAGAACAAAGACAGCAUUUCUUAAGCUAUACUGAAGUUCAAUUGGACAUUUUGAAUUUUACAAUUUUAAACGAUUAUGAAAAUGAUAUCAGUCACUGCCUGGCUUUCAUUGUGUGAUGACCUUUAAUGUACUGCGUUGACUUAUGGCCAUUUGUAGAGUAUGGUAAUUUGACGUUCAAGAUGUCUAUACUGAGAAAUCUCCAUCGGAGCAGAAAGGUCCACCAAAGUCCCAACUGUCUCCGAAUGUCCUAUAAUCUUUCUGUAGGCGCAGUGUUGUGUUUGUGUGAAAGAAGCACAUAGAAAUCUGCUGCUGCAUCCAAGACUUGUGUAGCCAGACGCUGUAGGCUUCUCUUGUGUCGAGUCCCUCUGCGUCUGGUGUUUCUGCCCUCACUGCUGCCGAAAUCAAGCGGCCCGAUCACGAAGCUUAAUAUAAGCUCCACAAAUCCUGAUCAUUUAAAUGCUUUGUGAAAUUGCCAAACCCCAUUUCAUCGGUCAACAUUAAAAUGAGAUUUUGUUCUCCAUCUGUUUGUGGACCAUGGACCAGCAUAAUUGAGAGGCAAAAUCAGACUUGUGCAUAUCCCACUGUUCCUCUGGACAAUUUGCAGCAUCAUGCCUCUCUUAUUAGCAGGUAUUUCACAGAACCUCCUCUGGCUGACAGUGCAAACCAUAAACACUUUUGUUCUCAGUAUUUUUGCAUUUACUUUAAGGAGAGUUUUGCUCAGCCGCCAUCACACACAUCAAGUCUCUUGUAUACCGUCAGUAUUUAAUACAGCAAAUGCUACUUGAUAAACUCAUUAACCUGUGAUCUUUUUUAUUUUUGUUGACAGAUUAUAAAACAGAACAGAUAUUAAUAUAUAAAACCUUUAUGUUUUUAAAAAAUAAAGAAUAGUUUAAGGCUUAGUUUUUUAUAUAUAACUAUAAUUAUUAUUUUUGACGUACUGGUAUUAUUGAAUCUAUAAAUAUUAU
Molecule: RNA transcript, 3918 nt
Organism: Paramisgurnus dabryanus
Lineage: Eukaryota; Metazoa; Chordata; Actinopteri; Cypriniformes; Cobitidae
Gene: ccdc85a
Gene name: coiled-coil domain containing 85A
Source: RefSeq, a predicted model, not a curated record